Molecule: long non-coding RNA, 18395 nt
Filed under: Gossypium barbadense (sea-island cotton)
Lineage: Eukaryota; Viridiplantae; Streptophyta; Magnoliopsida; Malvales; Malvaceae
Description: long non-coding RNA (GBAR_LNC020754)
Source: RNAcentral
UGAAAAAAUGUAAAACUUAGGGGACAUUUGAAAAAUGAAAUUGAUUUAAUAUAUGAUUACAAUGGGAUAUUUUAAUAUGUUUGGAAUUGAUAAAUUGAAAUAAAUUAUUAUAUAGAUUGAGAUUUGAGCUAAUAAGAGGAUAAUUGAGUAAAAGUCAAUUUUUCGGAUUAGUUCUCGAUGUUUUGUGUGUCGUUGUUUUGUCAAGUAAGUUCAUAUAUAAGUUACUAUGUUAAUUUUUUGAUAUAUUUGAUUAUAUUUAUUUUUUAUUAAUUAUAUUAAUUGUAAUUUUGAUGAUGUUGGCUUAAAAUUAAUUAUAUGUUUAACAUUAGUAGAUGACAUGCCAGAAUUAUAUAAGUUUGGAAUGGAUAUGUGGCAUAAAUGAUUUGUACCUUAUUGAGUUGGUUUAUUUGGAAUGAAUACACACAUGAGCAUGUUGUAAGUUAGAAAUGGACUGUAUAUAGGAUUUUAUAAGUAUAAGAAGUUAUUUUGGAAUGAUGGUAAUGAUGGUUCAUAGGUAAUACUUGAAUUUGAAUGUUAUAUAACAUGUAUAUAUAUAAGUCUUGUUAUGUUUAAGUGUUCACUUGAAUGUUGAUUCUUUGGAUCUAGCUUAGAGCUAGUAAAUUGAAUGGUUCAUGUCUUGAAAUUUUUAAUGGUAUGUGUGUAAACGAGAAUGCCAAUAUUUUGCAUGUCUUAGUGAAUGGUUAAUGUUCAUUUGGUAAGUAUAAGAAUGAAUAUGUAACAAGAUGGUGCAUAGUUACCUUUUCAUAUAAUGAAUAGAUGUUUGUUUGAAUAUUUGUUAUAUGUGGCAUGUAAUUAAAAGAUGUUAUACUAUCUUGUUAUGUUUAGUUUGGUUGGGAACUUAGUUGACAUUGAGCCUAUAAUGUAAUUGGCAAAUGUUUAAUAUGAAAAAGUUUAUUAUCAUGAUGGGGAAUUGUUCGAUAAUACAUGUAUUGUUUGUAUGGAAAAUUAGUGAUCUUAGGACAUGACUUAAAUGUUGUGUUAACUUGGUAUAACUUUUGUCUACAUGCUUUUAUAUGGUAUGAAAUGUUAUAAUAGUGAUUGAAAUUAUUAUCUAUUGUGUGCUUGAGCUUGUAGAAAUACAAGUGAUUGAUUAUGAGCAUGUAUAUAGGUUGAUUAUAUUUACUAUAAAUUUGGCAUGAUAGUAGAUGAUUUUAAAAUUUUUUAUUAUUAUACUACUAAGUUCUAUAUAUUACACUGUAAAUAGGCACUGAGCAAUUAAAUGUACCAAAUGAUAUAGAGAAUUCAGGAAAACGACCAUGCUAGUAUGUAUGAUAGAUUAUUGAAUUUGUGAUUGUUUGGUUGAUUAAAUUUGUGAACAUUGAGAUACCUUGGGAUAACUUAAGACAUUGUUUAGUAUAAACAUAGAGACAAAAAUCUAACCCUAUUUAUUCAUCUUUAGUUCCUAUAUUUGAGCCAGAAAAUACUUCUUGAUGAACCUCCAUACAAAACCCGAGCUAAAAAUGUUAAUUUGUAUUUUCCCUCUUUCUUUGGUCCUGAACUACAUGAUUAUAGACGUUUUUCCACACGUAUUAAGGGUUAAGUAGAUACAUCACGACAGAUUUUGUAACAACAAAGUGAAAUGGGAAAGAUCAGUGUGAUAUAGUAAUUAUAGGUUAACUUAUAAAUGCAAAAAAAAAAUUCAAAAAGAAAAUCAAAACGAGUAGAAAAAAUACUUGAAAAGAAAAAGCAUUCGUGAGUGAGAUGUAUUGAAAAAGAAAAAUAUGGUAAAUUCACAAAAAUAGAAAAACUAGUUCAUUAGGGCAUAGAAACUCGUGAGUUAGCGAUAGUUGUUGUAUUAUGCUAUGAUUUCCUAUGUGGAGAAAUAAGGCGGUGAGUGGGUAAGGGUCACUAAGGAAGGAGAAUAGGGAAUGAUACGAUAUGCCACACUAUUUUCAUGCUUGAAACUAUUUUGAUGUUUAUCAUUCUUGAAUUCCACACUUGUCCUAAGCCUUGAAUGGUACAAGCCGGAAAGCCCUAUGUGACCUAGGUAGACUUAUUCAUGAAUUGAAAUCAUAUUAAAUAAUUGCAUUUAUGACUAGUUGUAUUCUGUUAGGAUAAUCAAAUUAUAUAAUAAUCAAAUUAUAUGUAUAAUUUAUUGAUGGAUCCAUACAUUUGAAAACCUUAAUGUUUGUAUGCCUUACAAUAUACUGAACUUAGGUGUUUAAUAUCAAAAGUGGUAAGUCAUCUACAUGUCAAGAUUACGUGUAAAUAUGAAAUGCCUAGUUAUGUACUCCAAAGCCAACAUAUGUACUAUACCUGCUUAAGGGUCGUUUUUUAAUUUAUUGCUUUUCUUUGCCUUUCUUGAGGAAAAGUAAUAACUUAAGUGUAAGGGAGUUUGAUCUACUAUAAUUUGAUAUAGCGGAUUAAACUAGUUUUCGCAUUUAAAGAGCUUGAAUACGAGCAUUUUCAUUAUGUUUUAAUUAAGUUUUCAUAGUUUAGUUUAAAUGCAAUAAAAAGUGUAUUACGAGUCUUUUAUUGACCUUAUAGGCUAAAUGAGACCUAAAGGUGAGCUAAUAUACUUAAUGAGUAUGCAGAAGACCAUUAGAGGGCUUAUAAACUUAAACACUGGUCGUUGUGUUGCAACACGUGAAGUUUGAUGUUGCAACAUAGAGAGCAGAAUACAAAAAUAUCAAGAUUGUCUUCGGUGGUGUGACACAGCCAUGAGAUUUCGUAACAUACCCCUGAAGCAACCCUGAACCUAAGCAUACUACCUUCGAUGUCGCAACACAAGCACUAGGGUGUCACGACAUCGGUCCUGUACGAUAGAUAAUUAUGAGCCAAGUGUGUUUUGGUCUACACAAUUAAAUAUUUAACAUGAGAUCGUCAACUAACUUAGGGUUGAGGACGAAGACAACCUUAACUUUAUAAAUAGACUCAUUUAGCACUUGUUAUAGACAACUUUUGAUACUUUAAGUUUUUUUUGUAAUUUCAGUUUUUAAUUUUCCUUUCCUUUAGGCUUUAGGCUUAUUUUUAAUUAUUUUCCUUUUGUGUUCUUUGGAUAACGAGGUUUGUAAAAUGCGAUCAAACGCUAGUGGAUUGUUUGUGCUUCAUCUCACACAAACAUGAUUCUCUAAACUCUAUUCUUGAUUUGUGAUUUAUGUUUAUCUUUAUAUUCAAGUUUAUUGUAUUCAUGAGAUUCAUGAUGAACUAAUCCUCUUAUUGGGGAUUAGCGAUUGGAGGUGUGAGUAAUUGAUUCUUAUGUAGAGUUUUCUUAGUGGAUAAACUGUUUGGGAAAGAAAGAAUUUAAACCCUAAGCUUGAUGACCUUAAGAAGUCAAUUAGGUGGGAAUUAACCCAAAAUUGGUAUGGCCUAUCCAUGAACACCUUAGCCCUAAAUAGGUCUAGACAAUGAGAUCGAGAGAUAAGUAGUUCUUGCCUACUCAUUAGUUUAGUGGAAGAUCAAGAGAUCCUGCUAGGGUGAUGACUAGUUGAUUGAGUAGAAACUCGAAAUAGAAAUUAGUUAUGACCGCCAAAGUAAGUUAAUCACCCAUACCUAGAAUUGAUUAAAGUCUAUAAAUUAGGUUUUUCGAAGUUCUUUAUAUUUAGGUUUUUGUUAUUUUUAUUUCAUUAUUUAUAACCUAAAAAUAUUUUCUUUUAUGUUUUAUCGUACUAUAAUUUAUUUAAAUUACUAAUUAGAUCAAUUUGGAUUUAGGUUAGAAAUAAUUUAGUACUCGCCUCCAUUGGGUACGGUCAUUAGAGUACUCACCUACUUUGUUCUCGCUAUAUUACAAUUUGACCUGUAUACUUACGGACACCACUUAUUUUAUAUCUUUUGUGCAGUAUUCUUACUCUAAACGUUACUACUUCCGAAGGCAUUCAAUUUCCAUAUGUUGUUCUCUACAUCUUUAGAUAUUGUAUGAGCCAGCCUUUCCAUGCAAGACACAAAAAAGGUAGGGAGAAAGAUGAUCACUAUAACUCCCUCAACCAAAUUUAGAUCUCGAGUGUUACAUUUCUAAUACAGACUUAACAAAACAUACAAUUUUUUGAAUAUUUACAUCUUAUUUAAGAGUACUGCUCUAAUUAACUUACAACUAGAAGUACUGUAGAUAAUUUCAACCAUUGUACAAGACUUCAAAUAUAGAGAACUUACAAGUGAAUAUCAUAAAUUAAAUACAUUAUUCUAUUUGUUUUAUGCAUAAUAGACCGUAGUGAUAAUAUUGAUUAUAAUAGUGCAACUAACACGUUCCGUAUGCAUAAUAGCCCGUUCUAUCACCUCUGGCAUAGCCUUGGCGUCAUCCCUCCCAUCGUAGACCCAAAUCAACUUACUUGUAACAUGAUACACAUAAGUAAGUUCAUGAGAACUUAGUGAGUAAAACUCAAUUUACCUAUAUCGCGCCUAUACAACGCAUUUGGUAACUUCGUUGAUCCUCUGAUUGUUCUUCAUUCUUCAGCUUGUUUAUGGCGAGUACAAGGCUCUUUCAUCUUUAUGGUCCAAGAACUGACUGAACCGUGCUCUAAUACCAAAAUUGUAAUGCCAUCAACCUGAUUCGAUUUGUCGAACCUGGAUCUCGAGUGUUACACCCCUAAUACAAACUUACUAAAAAAAACAUACAAAUUUUUGUAUAUUUACAUCUUAUUUAAGAGUACUGUUCCAAUUAACUUACAACUAGAUGUGUUGUAGAUAAUUACAACCCAUACCUUGAAUUCGCCACAUAUUCUAGCUCAUUCCAACUUAUCUGUUCAUAUCCUAAGACCAUGCAGACUAUGCCAAGACAUUUCAGACGUAACCAUUUCUUCAGAGUUCGCCAUAUACAUCAUUCUUUUAGGGUUUUUCCAUACUUACCAUUCUUUAGAAUUAACCAUUCAUAUCAUUCUUUUAGAGUUCACCAUACUUACUAUUUCUCUCUUUCAGAGUCUGCCACAAGGGCAUUCCCUUCAAAUGAUAGCCACAAGGGCCUUCUUUUAGAAAACACCACGAAGGCUUUCCUUUCUAUAGAUCGCCACAAAGGCUUUUAUUUUCAUAGAUUUCCAUAAAAGCGUCUAUUUUUAUAGAUUUCCAUAAAGGCGUCCAUUUUCAUAUAUUACCACAAAGGCAUCCAUUUCUAUACGUUUUCAUCGUAGGGAUUUGCCUAAAUCACAUUACGUAAGGUUUGCCCCACAUUGUCUUAGGUUGCGCAGAAAACUCCAUUAGGUAAUAACAUUCCUUUAGAUAUUUCCAUAUGGUGCCAUAACCCACCAGCUAUGGUCUUACACGAUAUGGUGCCAUGGACUUUUCUUUCAGAGAAUCGUGUUUAAAGUCCCGACGGACCCCUUUAGAUGAGUCCAUCGCGAUGAACAGACUUAGGCUCACUUGAUAAACCUUCAUGCAUUGACCUCAUUUAAGACUUAACAUAUUUCAUUUUGAUUUAUCUCAUACAUUCCAGAAUCAUUCAUACAACCUCGUUUCACUAUCAGAACAUCCAUCACAUACUCAACUUAUCAGGUACUAUACAAACUACACAUGAAAGACUUAUUUAUUGGUCAUACUACAACAUUAUCUCUCUAUCAUACUUACCUAACUUCAGAAUUGUAGUGUGACUACUUUCUACAUAAGCAUCUUGAAUAAUAUUAUGCAUGCAUGAGUCGGCUUAAGGACUCACCUGACAACCACAAAUAGUCGUUUGAACUCUAGAUCCAUCAUUAAAGCAGGGAUUUCAACAAUCUCUGUCUUAUAAACAAAAAACCACAUAUAAAACCCAUUCAAAAUAGCCUUUACUAUUAUCUUAUAUUCAGACAACCCUCAUACGAGGCCUUACUUUUUCAUACGCUCAAACAUUUCUACUUGCAAUGCCUUAAGGCUUACCUUGACACGGAGAAAUCACUGAUAAAAUUCAGGGUUUCCCGAUCCAUCAUAAGAGAAAUCUUCUAUUUUUCUCCGGGCUUAAUUCUCAAUGUUUUGAAAUGAAAAUAAGAGAACUCUCCAUCUUUCUACUUGAAAACCUAUUGAAAUAGUCAAAGUCUUUAUUGGAACUUGAAAAAUUUCACAUCACUACUGACUUGUCUUACGAAGGGUCUAUAGCUUUCGAGGAAACUAAUUGAGUACUUUCCCUUUCUCUUUUAACUAUCUCGAUUUACGUUCAAUUAGUUCUUAACCAUCUUAAAUUAUAACUUAACAUGUAUAAUAUCACGGGGAAAAGGAUGCACUACUUCUAACGUGGGCUCGUACCUUCAGUAUCUAUUUACCUGACUACAUCCUUCUUCUAACAAAUUACAACAAUCUGCGAUGAACUGUCAACAUCUUCAUCACACAACUGUGUCUGCCCCCAUAUAUGCUAUAAAGAGAACUUGGGUAAUUACCAAUUUGCUAAUCGUACCUAUCAAAGACUACGCCAGAACUUGUGCUUGUCAGAACAGGGGCGUUAUAGGCUUGUUCAAAUAAUUCUUAUACUUAGUCAAAUUUUAUACUUAACACACUCAAAACUUAAUUUAUGUGCCUUACUUCUAUAAACAUCAUUUGAACAUUAGGGUUUCGUCAAGCGGGAUGUUACAAUUCUCCCCCACUUAAGAAAUUUCUUUCUCAAAAUUCCGAAAAUGACUUGGGUUGUUUUUGCCAAACUCAAAUUAGUGAUUGCACAAAUUCCCUUGCACACACUUCAACAUUUUCUUUCUUAUUGGAAUGCUCCCCAAAAUUCUUAAAAAGAUAUCCUUAGACUGCUUUCUUGAAUAAAAUCAAAUUUUUGAUGGUUAACACUCAAGUAUGGACACCUCACGCUUACCCCUUUUUAAAAAAUAUCAAACUUGCAUUGGAGAAUUCAAAUAGUUUUUCCUAAGGUGCCUUCUUGAGCACAUUUAUCCCUACAAAACAGAGAAUUUAACCCUUCCUCUAAAACCUUCGUCAAGCCUUCAAAUUUCUUAACAGCUUCCCUAACUUCCUUUUCUGCCUUCGUCUUCUUCGAUUUGAAGAAUUCUUAAAGGUAAUCCUAUUUCCCCUUAUUUCCCAUUGUUUCCCAUUAUUUUCUUACUUUCAUACAAGAUGUCAAGAAUGAACACUCAUGGUCAAGGUCAUGACCAACGUGGCUGAGUUUCAAUCCCUAAUUGUCCCACCAUUUUUUGUCCUCACGAACUCAAAAAUACCCUUCCAACCAUUUCCACUCCUAAAUACGAAUGUAGUAAUACCUAAGAAGAAGUGAAUUGAUUCUUGAUAGCCUGAGGCUUCUGUUUUCCAAACUUCACUUACGACCUUGAUAUACCUUCAAGGUGUUAUUUAAGUGCCAACACCUUGGGUUUCAUCCUUCCGCUCAUUAUGCUAGAGGCUGGUUUCUAUUUACCUUUGCACCUAUUCUUCUAUUCAAUGUUGAUUGAAUACGACAUUGCACCAAGGCAGUUAUUAGCCUUGUCCUAGUAGACCGUUAUUGCCUAUUGCUUAGAUUGCUGCUAACGAAAUGAACCUACACUCCUAGGAGUCUUCCAAAAAUUUUACCAACUAAAAAUAACCAAAAAAUGGGCAAAUGCUGGAUACGCCCACUUCAAUGUUUUCAAAUCUUCAUUGGAGAAAGGAAAAGUUCAUAAAGGUAGUUUGUAAGCUCGAAGAUAGGUUUGGCUUUUCCACUUGCUGGUCCCUUCCUCAAGAGCUCACUUAUUCUCAGAGUUUGCUUAUUUAGUCUAAGGUGGAAAAUAAGUAAUUUAAGUGUUUAAGUAUAGGGCAUGUUCUAGAGUUAGUGAAAUUAGUUACAAUUAGGAAUGUCUUUCAGUACUGCUUGUUGAAUCAGAGUCCUAAUGGUCAUAGAAACAGUGCCUGUAUCAAUUAGUUGGAAGAUUUUAUUGUGCUUUCAGUGCCCAAGGCUUGUCUACACAACGACAAUAUUAUCUUAGCCCAGAUCUUAACUGGGCAUGCAAGAGAGCCCCUAUUUUACUUUUACGAGUUUUGUGGGAUACGUUCCUGAAACUAGCUUAUCACUCAUCGUGCUCAUCCUUCUUCUUUUUCUUCAAGUGAAGCUAAUUCUCACAUUGAUAGUGCAUGGUAUAUUUCCAAGUCUCAUAUUCCUCCCAACCUAAAGCUAGGCAUGGACAUCAAAGCCAUUUUAGGUACCACUUGUGAUAUGGAGGGAGCUUUAAUUGCUCCUACUAGGCAGCCUAUUUCCAAGAAGUAUCAGAAGAGACUAAAGGCAAGUGAAAAUGUUUUGGUUACUAAGGAGAGUGACCAAUUACAACCCAAAUGGCGUAGACUUGGGAAAGGACUUCCAAGUCCAAAGGUUCAUUUCUUGCCAAUUUCGCCAACAGUUCCAAUGGAACCCACCUGUGCAGCAGACUCUUCUGCUCAGGUUACAGGUUCGCCUUACACAGAAAUCCGAACAGAAACCUCACCAGAUGAUCUAUCUAAGAAUCCCUCUAUUCCUCAACCACAGUUCUCUUCUUCUAUUGAAAAUAAUGAAUUUUUUCCUUGGCGCAACCUUUAUACUUCAGGACCCUCAUUUGUUUCUUUAAGUUCGAUCUUUAAAAACUAAUACAACUUGAUUCCUCAAAAAUACAGAGAGGCAUUCCAUUCUUUUAUUGUGUCCAAGCCGGGUUUAACUUCUUUUUCUUAGAUGGCCAAAUCUGCCAAAGCUUUAUCUGUUAAGAACAGGUUGUUGAGUGGAUUUCUUUAAAAGUUUCACAGUUUUCAUAAGGCCACAAUUUCCAGUUACAAUGAGUUCCUUAAGUUGAAUUCCAAGAUGAUAGAGGAGCAAUGCAGUAGGGAGCAGGCUCUUAAAAGUAAGUUUGAACAACUCAACCCAAGUAUGGUAGCGUGAAAGUUCAAAAACAAAGAGAUAGAGAAAAGUGUAGAUUGUUGGAGAACACAGUUGAAUCGUUAGAGAAGAAUGAUUCCUCCUUAAAGGAACAACUCUAAUACCAGAAGUUACUUUAUAAGGCUAAGUAGGAUAGUGUUCGCUAAUCCAACGAUAAAGCCUUCAAGAAAUAUCAGGAGUACACAAUAAGAAACUUUAUUGAGGCAUUGUCAAAGUGGAAGGCUAACCUGAUUCUCCAUGCCCAAGUGGUCGUUGGUCCUAUGGACUUCUGUCAAGUAGACUUCAACUUUCUUCUAUACGCUGCUACAUAUUCAUUAGGCUUCAAUAUUUACAACCCCAAGGGUUUCAAAAUGGAAACAAAUUACUGGUUUCUUUAUUCUUAACUCACCCAAAAUAAAGGGUGGCGAGAAUCUUGAGAAGCUUCAACAUUCAGAGUAAAUCUUGGGGGAAAUAGAGUCAACAGAAGAAGUCCACGCCAAGUCCACUAGGCAUCACUCAGGGGAAGAGGACUAAUUUCUUUCUUCUUAUUCUUUCUUAUCUUUUAUGGCCUUCUUUUUGUAUAACAUCCAUUUUAUCAAUGAAGUGAUCAUUUGCCUCUCUUUUUAAUAUAUUCAUUCAUCUUUCCUUUUCAACUAUUUAAUUUAUUAUUUCUCUACAUCCUUUACUUUACACAUAAAUAAAGUUGUUUGCACAUACCUAAGAGACUUAGCCAAGCUCGACGUAUUAUACAUAUAGGGCCCUUAACUAUUUAUGGUCUAUAAUGCCAAACUUGUAAUGUGUAACACUCCUAACCUGUUUUUAUCACCGAAUUAGGGUUAAAGAGUAUUAUUGUACAAAAUAGAACAUUCAACAUCAAAGAAAAAAUAAUUAUGCAAUUCAAAUGUUAUCAUUUCAUAACUCAAUUUAAUUAAAGUAAAAAUACACUUACCAGAUCUAGCAUGCGGGGCAAAAGAUAUAGUUUGGAAACAUUUCUGGAUCAAUUUGAAAUAAAAUAGAAAAUUUUGGAAAAGCUUGAAAAUUUUGAAAUAGGGGUCACACGGUCGUGUGACUAGGCUAUGUGGCAUAGCCCAAACUGUGUGGACAUUCAAAAUCUAGACACACGGUCGUAUCCCAGCCCGUGUAUCCACCCGAGUGGGUAAUCAAAAUAGGGCCACAUGAUUGUGUCGUGGGCCGUGUGCCAAACUGUGUAUGCAUCCGAUGUUGGGUCACACGGCCGUGUCGUAGGUCGUGUGUCAGAUCAUGUAAAACAUGCACCUAAAAUAAUAAUGACACACGACAGUGUAGGGUAUCCUUGUGUGGCAAACGAUCGUGUGACAACCCGUGUUCCAAGCCGUGUGUUUCAUAUAUUACCCCUAAAAUAAGCCAUUUCAAAUCUAAUUCUUGCACACCAAGACACAACAUUUCCACAAACACUCACAUGACCAAAACACAUUUAAAAUGUAUUUAAAACAUACCAAUUCCAUCAACCUAUAAAACUAACCAAUGUACCAACAAAAGGCACCAAAAUUAUAAACCAAACAUAAUCUCAUUCAAUAUUACAAGUUCAUUCAAUAAACUUAGAUCAAACAUACCAAUAACCAUUCCAAAAGCAUCCAUUCAACCAUGACUUACCUAAUAUAAGAUAGAACAUGCAUAAAAGCAGCUUCACCUAUUUACAACAUCAUUUGCAAACAACAUCAAUUAGGCAUCCAACCACAUUAAACUCAUCACAACUUAAAACAACUGAGAAACCAAGAUUACAUUUAAGCCCUAAACAUGCCAUUUAUAACCAUAAGCCAAAUUAACCAAAAACUACCAAAAUGAUGGAAAGAUAGUGUGAUCGUGCUCCAACGCGAUUGUAACGCCCCAAAAUUUUAAAUGUUAUUUGUGAGAUUCUACAGUAAUUAAGUCUUUGUAUCUGUGGUUAUAUGCUCUGCUUAGGUGGUCGAGGUCAGGAGUUCGAGUCGCGUUUUUAAAAGUUUUUCUAGUUUAAUUUUAAUCAAUCUCUUCUCUUGGGUUGCUGACUUAAAGUUAAUUCUGUGUAAAUCUAUGUCAAGAAUGAGCCUACUGGUUUACUGGUUAAGCAUCUGUCUAUUCCCUGGUCCUAUGUUCGAGUCUCGGUAUAUGCAUUAGGUAAUGUAUUUGCUUAAAGCCAAAAUUUUGAUCGGUGGUUAAUUAAUUAAGCGUUCUCUCUUCCUCCCAUCUUUAUUUUUUUGUUCAUUUUUUCCUUCCUUUUCAUUUUUUUCUUUUUACUCUUUUCCUUUUUUAUGGUCCAAUUGUUACUUGGUUCGCAUGGUUUGUCUGCUAUGUUGUCGGGUAAGUGCACAUGUCUUUACUGCCAAUUAUAUAGAUUGUGUAAUCGCAUUAAUCAUAGAACUUCCAUUAGACGGUAGUUCAUUAGUUCUGUCAAGGUUGUUUCCAACUUGAUUAGUUUAAACUCUCUUUUAAGCGAUUAUUCGAUUUCUUUUUAGGUGAGAAUACAGAAACCAACAAUCCUCAGCGCGAGUAAUUGCUGUUAAUUUUGUUAGUAAGUCUGGAAUUGUUGAAGGUUUUUCAUCAAAACUUUUGAUAUAGUUUUCUGCGUGUAAUUAGAAGUUGUUGCCAAUUAAAUGGCUUAAUUGUGUAAUUGGAUGGUUGUGUUAGGCUUUAGGAGUCUUCUACGUUGCUUCUACAUUAAAAAUACUUUAGGUGUGUACCAAAAACUUAAGUUUUUACGAAUUUUGGACGUUAAGAAAUAUAGUUAUCGAUGCUACACAGCCGUGUGAUAGGCCGUGUAACUCAUUAUUUACCAAAAAUGAGCCACACGAGUACGGGACACAGGCGUGUGUCCAAGCCGUGUGUGGUCAAGUUAGUGCAGGGUUCACACAGGCCAAGGACACGGGCAUGUGUUUAGGCUGUGUAACUUACUGAGUACAAGAUAGGGAUCACACAAGUUAGGGACAUGGGCAUAUGUCCAAGCCGUGUGACUCACUGUUUGCAAUUUUAGACCAUACGGGCCGGCGACACAGGCAUGUGUUAGGCUGUAUGGGGCAUACGGGUAGGCACACGAGCAUUUGAUAGGCUGUGUAGGGUUAUACGAGCAUACAGGUCAGAUUCAAAAGUUAUCUCUGAGGUCGUAAGCAUUGUCUAAUGCGAAAGUCAGCUUUUUGUAGUGCAUUGAUGACCCAUAUUAAAUUGUAUGUGUUGCUAUCUGAUAAAUCUAAAACUGGACUAUGAGUAUAUAAAUGGAUACUAAAUAUGAUGACUGUUGGUGAUAUUGAUCUGUACCACCUUAAUAUGAAUUGGAUCUUAAUAACCGUAUGUACAAUCUGACAUCUGUAAUGUACAUUUGCAAUGGGUGGGAAUUGUGAAAAUGAGGAAGUAAUAUAUUCUGAUUCAGUGGCUUGGCCAAUAUCUAUAUGUUAAUCUGGCACUUUAGUGCAACUUAUUCUGGUAGCUAGUCUGCAACUGCUUGAAUGUGUCGGACCGACACUAUAUGGUGUCUAGGGCUGUAGGGGUUUAAAACUCCCUUAUCGAUGUGUUGAGGUGGUCAGAGAUGGUGUGUAUCGAUCUGUUUCUGAUCUGCUCUGUAUUUAAAUUAGAUUUGUACUACCAUUCAAUUGAUGUGUAACAUUGUACUGGAAAGUCUCUAAUUCUAAAUAGAACUUUGACUUAGGAAUAUAUUGUUAUACUAUGGUUCUAGUUAAAUCUAUAAUGUUUAUACACUGAAUUCUCUACUCAUUUUGUUGUUGACUAAAUUUUAGGUAACUCACAAUCCUGAUCGGAUCGACGUAGUGGGAGCUUGAUCAACUUGCUUAAUCACCCCUCUUAUCUAUAUUAUUAGUAGUUGCAUUAGUCUCUUUUGUUAUAAGUUUACAAGAUUGUUGGGUUUCGACUAAAGUUUAUGAUUGUUCACUUUGUCAGAAAGUUUUAAUUAUGUUAUAUAAGUCGAUUUUUCAAGCAACAUAGAUGUAACUCUUUGGACUUGGCCUUGACGCCCAGGACAAGUAUAAGGUGUUACAUUUAGUGGUAUCAGAGUCAGGUUAAUCAACACUCGGAUUAUUUUUUGGGCUUAUAAUGUGUGCCAAAAGAUAGAUAAAUGAAAAUAGAAAAUCUGAGUCAUUCUAAAAACUAAUUUUUAUAAAUAAUCGAUCCUCUAAACCCGAACCUAUAAGUAUUUUUUUGUUGUUAUGGUGAUUAAUGGAAACACUGUAGUGAUUAAACUGUUAUUUGUUUAAAUACACUGAUAGAACUGGAAGAAGUACUAUGUUGAAAUCCUGAACUGAUAUAUGUACUCUGACAUUCUAGAUAGAUUACCAUUAUGAAUUCGCUCAGUAGUCAUGAAUGUGGAUUUCGUGGGCGUUGUGGACAUAGAGGAGGAGCUCGAGCGGAGUCAUCCUCUGUGGGCAGGAUGCCCAAUCUGGAGACCAGCGAGACAGUUUGUACUCCUACUGCUGAGACGAUGUCUCAUACUUCAACGGCUGUGGAUGAUGCACUCUCCCAGGCUAUAAUUCAAGCAUUGGAAAGGAUCAUCUAGACCCAUUCUUGAUCUAGAGGCCGUGGGCCAAUUACUGAACGACUUCGGUCAAAUGGUGCUGAGUUGUUUCAGGGCAUCAUUGGAGUGUUGUACUCCCACUCAAAAAUUGAGGCAUGCCGUGUCCCUACUCUGGAUAAAGCCUAUCAGUGGUGACUAACGGUUGAGCAAGGUGCUCAGCCUGAGUAGGUUAAUUGGGACUAUUUUAAAAGUGCCUUCUAAAGUAACUAUAUGGGGGUGAGUUAUGUGGAGGCUCGUUGAAACUAGUUUAUGAACCUGGUUCAAGGUGAUCAAUCUGUGGCCGAGUAUAAGGUCGAGUUUCUGAGACUGAUUAGGUACGCGCGGGCUCUGGUAACAUUUUACUAUGAUAAUGCGUGAGGUUUGAGGAAGGGUUUCGUUAUGAUCUGUAGGUUCCAAUAGCUCCUCAGAGGGAGCGGGUUUUUGCGGCCUUGAUUGAUAAGGCUAAGAUAGUGGAAGAGGUGAAACGUAAUGAGUACGAGUGGCAUGACCACGACAGAGAUUAGAGUAAGACUAAAAGGAAUUCGAAUCCCUCUAGUUCUAGGUAGCGCCUUAAGAAACGGGCGAGGUUCGAAAGGCCUCCGAGAUCUGACGCACUAGCUUCAGUUAUCGACGUUCAACUCUGUAGCGACUGUAGGAAGCGUUAUCUGCACGAGUGCUAGAGAAAGUUAGGAGCAUGCCUCUAUUGUGGGUCGAUGGAACAUCGAGUUAGGGAUUGUCCUUGUCAACCAAAUCAAGUGACAAUUGUGGCAUCGACUUCUAUUCCAGGUCAUGUUCAACCUCUAAGAGUAGGUCAGCAACCAGUACAUUCUUUAUUUAUUUUGUUCCAUACUUCGGACUCAUUGACAUUCUGUCUACUCACUCAUAUAUAGCUAGUACUAUUUCUACAAAUCUAGGUAUAACUGUUGAGAAUACUGUUAGAGAGUUUUCUGUGAUUAGUCCUUUGGGUCAAUUGUUUCGUACAUAUAAGGUAUAUAGACGAGUACCCUUGAAGAUUCAGGGUAUAGUAUUUUCGGUGGACUUGAUGGAGUUACUUUUUGAUGAAUUUUAUUAGAUUUUAAGAAUGGAUUGGUUCGUAGAGUAUCGGGUCAAUCUAGAUUGUGCAUCUAAAAGAAUUACUCGAGGAUGGAUGAAAAUAAUGAGGUUGUUAUUGUUGGUGAGCAUCGAGAUUACCUUUCCAAUGUAAUCACCACCUUGCUAGCGGAUAAGCUAGUCUAGAAAGGGUGCGAGGCAUACAUUGCCUACAUAUCCGAUACAUUUCCUACAAACCUUUCUGUAGGGAUAUUCGUACUGUAAGGGAUUUCUCGGAUGUUUUUCUUAAUGAAUUGCCUAAAAUACCUCCAAAUAAAAAGGUUGAAUUUAGCAUUGAUUUGUUACCGGGUACUGCUAAUGUUUCUAUUACACCCUACCGCAUGGCACCGAAGGAACUUGCAGAGCUAAAAGCUUAGCUCCAGGAACUUCUCGAUAAUAGGUUUAUCCGACCGAGUAUGUCUCCGUGGGGAGCACCAGUGCUGUUUGUUAAAAAGAAGGAUGGGUGGAUGAAAAUGUAUAUAAAUUACCGACAGCUAAGCAAGUUGACAAUAAAGAAUAAGUAUCUGCUACCGAGGAUCGGUGACUUAUUCGACCAGUUCUAUGGGGCAUCUAUUUUUUCUAAGAUCGAUCUCUAUUCUGGUUACCAUCAGCUCAAGGUUAAAGAGAUUGAUGUGUACUAGACCACCUUCAGGACUCGUUAUGGACACUUCGAGUUCCUGGUGAUGCCUUUUGGGUUGACGAAUGCCCUGGCAGCAUUCAUGGAUUUAAUGAAUCGAGUGUUCCAAAUGUAUUUGGAUCAGUUUGUGGUAGUCUUUAUUGACGACAUACUGAUUUAUCCCAAGACCGAGUUAGACCAUGAUGACUACCUUCUUAUUUUCUCCAGACACUCCGAGAAAAGCAAUUGUAUGCUAAGUUUAGCAAGUGCGAGUUUUGGUUGCAGGAGGAUUUUUUUCUUGGACAUGUGGUGACUGCUGAAGUGAUCUAGGUCAAUCUCAAGAAAAUAGAAGCUAUAGUUGAGCGGAAACAACCGAGAAAUGUGUUUGAGCUUCGGAGUUUCCUAGGCUUAAUAGGUUACUACUGAAGGUUUGUCGAGGGAUUCUCUCUCAUUGUGUCACCUUUGACGAAGCUACUGAGUAAGAACACUCUAAUUGUGUGGUUUGAAGAAUAGCGGUCUAGUUUCGAAAAGCUCAUGUUUGUUCUGAUGCAAGCUUUUGUUCUAGGUCAACCUAAAUCGGGUUAGGAGUUUAUGGUUUCCAGUAAUACAUUGCACGUUGGUCUAAAAGGUGUUUUGAUACAAGAUGGUAAAGUGGUAGCUUAUGCGUCGUGACAACUUAAGAUGCACGAGGGUAACUACCUACGAUUUUAAGCUGGAUGCAGUUGUGUUUGCUCUAGAUAUUUGGAGGAAUUACCUUUAUGAUGAGAGGUAUAUCAUUUACACUGAUCACAAUAGUCUUAAGUAUUUGUUAACUAAAAAGGAGUUAAAUCUCAAGCAGCGCAGGUAGGUUGAGUUGCUUAAGAUUAUGACUGUACGAUAGAAUAUCAUCUUAGUACAGCUAAUAUGGUAGCCGAUGCUCUUAGCCGUAGAGUGAUGACUAACCGAAAAAUGAUGUUUGCUUGUCUAAGUUUAGUUGAGGAUGGAGGAUCGUUAGCUCAAUUGCAGGUUAAACUGAUUAGGUCGAAUAGAUUCUGGUUAAACAAUUGAGUGAUGAGUUUCUAGUUCAGCGACUGCAACAGAUUGGUUCGAGUGAAACUUCAGAUUUUAGUUUAAACAGCGAUAAAGUGUUGUGUUUUGGGGGUCAGAUUUGUGUGCCUAAUGAUAAUAAGCUGAGGCAAUCGAUUCUGCAAGAGGCGCAUAGUAGCCCUUACGCUAUGCAUCUUGGUGGAAAUAAGAUGUAUCGGGACCUCCGAGAACUUUAUUGGUGGCUUGGUCUAAGAUGGAGAAUGGUUGCCGUCGUAUCACACUGUCUGAUGUGUCACAAGGUUAAAGAAAAACAUCAUUUGCCCUCAGGAUUACUUCAGCCGGUUAUGAUUACUCUAUGAAAAUGGGAGCGUGUAACAAUGGAUUUUGUUAGUGGGUUACUUUUAACCCCCACUAAGAAAGAUUCAGUUUGGGUCAUCAUUGAUCAAUUAACCAAAUCCGCUAAUUUUAAUCCUACCAAAACAUAUUACUCAUUGUAGAAGCUCGGUAAGCUGUAUAUUGCUGAGAUCGUAAGACUACACGGGUUUCACAUCUUGAUUAUCUAUAAUAGAGAUCUGCAUUUCACAUCUUGAUUUUGGAAAAAGCUUCAUGAGACUUUAGGCACCCGACUCAAUUUCAGUACUACGUAUUAUCCUCAGACCGACAGACAAUCUGAGUGAGUUAUUCAGAUCUUCGAAAAUAUGUUUCGAGGUUGUGUAAUAAAUUUCCUGGGUAGUUAGGAAGAUUACUUACCAUUGGCUAAGUUUGCAUACAAUAACAGCUUCUAGUCUAGUAUUCAGAUGGCACCUUACGAGGUUCUAUAUGGUCGUAAGUGUCGUACUCCAUUGUGUUGGACUAAGUUAAGCGAACAUUGGGUUUUGGGUCCUAAGCUAGUUCCUGAAACUAAGAAUACUGUCAAGCUAAUACGAAACCGUCUUAAAGCCACUUCUGAUCGACAAAAAUCUUAUGCCGAUUUAAAGAGAAAAGAUAUUGAAUUUUCUAUAGGCGAUCAGGUGCUUCUGAAGGUGUCACCAUGGAAAAAGGUCCUUUGAUUUGGACAUAAAGGCAAGUUGAACCCGAGGUUUAUUGGACCAUAUCGUAUCUUGAAACAUGUCGAACCUGUUUUCUAUUAAUUAGAAUUACCACUGGAGUUGGAACAGAUUCAUGAUAUGUUCCAAGACUCAAUGUUGAGACAGUAUCGAUCUAAUCCGUCGCGCAUUGUUCCGAUUGAGGAAAUUGAGGUAUGACCAAACUUAACUUUUGAGAAUGAACCUAUUCAGAUUUUAGAUCGUGACGUUAAGGUGUUGAGGAAGAAAAUUGUUCCUUUAGUUAAGGUUUUCUAGCGGAAUCAUGGCAUAGAGGAAGCUACUUGGGAACCUAAAGAUUUGAUUUGACGACAAUACCCGUAUCUGUUUGAGUCAAGUACAUUUUGAGGCUGAAAUUUCUUUUAGGGGGAGAGAGUUGUAAUGCCCUAAAAUUUUGAAUGUUAUUUCUAAGAUUCUGUAGUAAUCAAGUCUCGUUAUCUGUGAUUAUAUGCUCUGUUUAGGUGUUCGAGGUCAGGAGUUCGAGUCACAUUUUUAGAAGUUUUUCUAGUUUAAUUUUAAUCAAUCUCUACUCUUGGGCCAUUGACUUAAAGUUAAUUCUGUGUAAAUCUGUGUCAAGAAUGAGUUGCUAGUUCACUGGUUAAGCAUCUGUCUAUUAUCUAGUCCUAUGUUCGAGUCUCAGCCGUGUGGUUGGCUGUGUAACUCACUGUUUACUAAAAAUGAGCCACACGAGCGUGUGUACAAGCCGUGUGUGGUCAGGUUAGUACAAGGUUCACACGGGCCAAGGACACUGGAAUGUGUCUAGGUCGUGUAACUCAUUGAGACCAAGAUAGUGAUCACAUGGGUUAGGGACACGGGCAUGUGUCCAGGCCGUGUGACUUACUAUUUCUUUCAGAGUCAAUACGAUCCAGAGACACAAGCAUCUGUCAAGCUGUGUGGGACACACGGGUAGGAACACGGGCAUGUACCAGGCCGUGUAAGGUUAUUCGGGCAUGUGGGUUAGAUCUGAAAGUGAUCUCCGAGGCCAUAAGCGUUAUCUAAAGCAAAUGUCAGCUUUCUGUAGUGCAUUAAUGACCUGUAUUAGACUGUAUGUGUUGCUAUUUGAUAAAUCUGAGACUGAACCGGCACCCAUUGAUUUUGCACCUUCUAACAUCUCGGGUUGAGAAUUCUCGUCACACUUUUUUUUUCAUUCACAAAUUUUUUUUUGUUAUGGAUUCCUUGUCGAUUCUUCCCCUCGUUCUUUUUUUCUUGGGCUUGGCUACAUACCAAGCGUGGAUCCAUAAAAUUCCAAAAUUUUUAGAAAGUAGCUACUGUUGGCCCCAUUUAGAAUGAGAUCACAACAGAUUUGAUAGAGCCCAUCAAUUUGCUCUUUUAAGGGCUCUUCAAAAACCAAAUGAUUUUCUAUGG